RNAcentral lists this ribosomal RNA (466 nucleotides) under uncultured bacterium. Its description in RNAcentral is "partial 16S ribosomal RNA". It matches the Rfam family "Bacterial small subunit ribosomal RNA", at positions 28 to 507 of the family's 1533-position model. The record is from RNAcentral.
GAUGAACGCUGGCGGCGUGCUUAACACAUGCCAGUCGAACGAUGAAGCCCAGCUUGCUGGGUGGAUUAGUGGCGAACGGGUGAGUAACACGUGAGUAACCUGCCCUUGACUCUGGGAUAAGCCUGGGAAACUGGGUCUAAUACCGGAUAGGAACGUCCACCGCAUGGUGGGUGUUGGAGAGAUUUAUCGGUCAUGGAUGGACUCGCGGCCUAUCAGCUUGUUGGUGGGGUAAUGGCUCACCAAGGCGACGACGGGUAGCCGGCCUGAGAGGGUGACCGGCCACACUGGGACUGAGACACGGCCCAGACUCCUACGGGAGGCAGCAGUGGGGAAUAUUGCACAAUGGGCGAAAGCCUGAUGCAGCGACGCCGCGUGAGGGAUGACGGCCUUCGGGUUGUAAACCUCUUUCAGUAGGGAAGAAGCGAAAGUGACGGUACCUGCAGAAGAAGCACCGGCUAACUACGUG